RNAcentral lists this long non-coding RNA (205 nucleotides) under Elaeis guineensis (African oil palm). Its description in RNAcentral is "long non-coding RNA (EGUI_LNC077008)". The record is from RNAcentral. Lineage: Eukaryota; Viridiplantae; Streptophyta; Magnoliopsida; Arecales; Arecaceae.
GUAUUGAGGACAGUUCCUCUUUCAGUGCCCCCACUUCUUGCAAAAGAAGCAUUCAGCUUGACUCUUAUCAGGCUUGAUCUUUCUGGUCUGGCCCUGCACAAACGUCCUAGCCUGAACUUGCACCUUCUUCACUUUCUUCUUCUUAUUCUUCUUUCCUUUCUUAAAGGGUCGAGAACCAGAAGACGAACCUCCCACUAAGUUCACC